UACGAAGGGGGCUAGCGUUGUUCGGAUUUACUGGGCGUAAAGCGCACGUAGGCGGAUCGUUAAGUCGGGGGUGAAAUCCUGGAGCUCAACUCCAGAACUGCCUUCGAUACUGACGAUCUAGAGUCCGGAAGAGGUGAGUGGAACUCCUAGUGUAGAGGUGGAAUUCGUAGAUAUUAGGAAGAACACCAGUGGCGAAGGCGGCUCACUGGUCCGGUACUGACGCUGAGGUGCGAAAGCGUGGGGAGCAAACAGG
RNAcentral lists this ribosomal RNA (253 nucleotides) under uncultured bacterium. RNAcentral's name for it is "partial 16S ribosomal RNA". It matches the Rfam family "Bacterial small subunit ribosomal RNA", at positions 524 to 776 of the family's 1533-position model. The record is from RNAcentral.